This is an RNA transcript of Phacochoerus africanus (Common warthog), 2145 nucleotides long. It is a transcript of the gene named protein FRA10AC1, with no coding region annotated. The transcript has 14 exons. NCBI's taxonomy places the organism in Eukaryota, Metazoa, Chordata, Mammalia, Artiodactyla, Suidae. The record is from RefSeq and is a predicted model, not a curated record.
GACGCGUGGCCGAACCAGACCGGAAGCAGCGCCCAGUCGGGACCCGUAGGGAGAGGCAGGGAGCCGGUGGUGGCGGCAGCGGCAGCUCAAGCUGUGACUGUGGUGGCGGCUUGUGGCGAGGCUGCGUGGCAGCGGCGACCAGGCUGGUGCAGCAGCGGCUCGCUCAGGCUGUGGGUCGCUGUUGCAAACCACGAUUUUGUGGGCCCACUUGGCAGAGCUGGAAGGAGGGGAAGGGGUGUGUGAGAAGGGCGAUUCUGGAGACACCCGGCGUCUCUCUUCUCGAAUUUCUCUCGGCCCUUGUAGGUGGAUUCGUAGCCUGAAGUGAGUGAGAACUUUUUAUUGCAACCACUGAGUUCAGAUGGGUAUGGGAAAGAUGCAUGGUCACGGAGGGUAUGACUCUGAUUUUAGUGAUGAUGAGCACUGUGGAGAAUCUAGCAAAAGGAAAAAAAGGACAGCUGAAGAUGAUUUACUGCUCAAAAAGCCAUUUCAGAAAGAAAAACAUGGGAAGGUGGUCCAUAAACAAGUUGCAGCAGAAUUGCUGGAUAGGGAAGAGGCAAGAAAUAGAAGGUUUCAUCUCAUAGCUAUGGAUGCUUAUCAAAGGCAUACAAAGUUUGUAAAUGACUAUAUUUUAUACUACGGUGGCAAAAAAGAAGACUUCAGGCGAUCCAGGGAAAAUGACAAGACAGACAUGGAUGUUAUACGGGAAAAUCAUAGAUUCCUAUGGAAUGAGGAGGAUGAAAUGGACAUGAAUUGGGAGAAGAGACUUGCAAAGAAAUACUAUGAUAAAUUAUUCAAGGAAUACUGCAUAGCAGAUCUCAGCAGAUACAAAGAAAAUAAGUUUGGAUUUAGGUGGCGAGUAGAAAGAGAAGUGAUUUCAGGAAAAGGCCAGUUUUGCUGUGGAAAUAAAUGUUGUGAUAAAAAAGAAGGCUUAAAGAGUUGGGAAGUUAAUUUUGGUUAUAUUGAGCAUGGUGAAAAGAGAAAUGCUCUUGUUAAAUUAAGAGAAAAGAAGUCAAGUCAAAAAAAAGAAAGGAUAAAACCAAAAAAGAUUGUGGAGAGUCAUCACAUAAAAAAUCCAGAUUAUCUUCUGUGGAAGAGAAGGAUAAAGCACAUUCAUCCUCAAUGAAAUCAGAAAAUUCGAUCAACAUAAACUCUGAUGAAGAAGAAAGUACUUCAGAAUCUGAAGUUUGGAAGGGCCCACUACCAGAGACAGAUGAAAAAUCACAGGAAGCGCCUUGAAGAUACAUCUAGGUGUAAAAGCUCAAUGCAUGCCUUGUUCUCUGCUGUUGGUUGGAAGAACUGUCUGGAUAUAGGCUGGAACGUUAGCAGCUCUUGUUACUGGGAUGUUCACCACUUGAACUUUAUAUGUUGAAAGAGGAUAAAAUAAUACCUACAACAUAGAGUUUAUUGUGAAGAUUUAAUAAAGAAUAUAAAGUACCUCAUAUAGUACCUACCAAUAUAGUAAGUUCUUAAUAAAUGUUAGUCCUGUUUUGUUAGUCUCUGGGCAUAUUGGUUCAAAACUGUAUGUAUAUUUAAUACUCAGCAGCUCUAUGAAGAAAUGUAAUCAUUUUAUAGAUAAGGAAACUGAGCCCAGAAAUGUUAAAUAACUUGCUUACCCAGCUGAUAACUGAUAGAGCAAGAACUUAAACACUGUCUGAUUUGAAAACCUGUACUAUUUCCGUUGUAUCACUCUGGCUUCUAGCAGUAAUACUUACUUAGUAUUUUAUAAUUUUUCAUAAUAUUUUAACACAGUAUUAUUUAAUACCUCCUUUCAGAGUUUUGUUCUUUGUUUUAGAUAUAAUCUUCACUGCUACAAAUACAUAUUUACUGUUCUCAGAGUAAUAAAACCUUCAACCUAAGCAGAUUUCCCCUAUUCCUGGGAGUAAGACUUGUAUUCUUCCUUAAAAUAGCUUCUUUUUCAUUCAUUUUUUGAUCAGACUCUAAUUUGAAAUGAGAAUGAACAGAGUAAGCUAUAAAGUCAACCAAAAAUGUACUUAAAAAUAAAAUCGUAGGUAAUAAAUUCACUUAGGGAGAGGUGUUUAACAUGUACGACAUCUUAAUCGGUCUGGGUAUAGUUAUUUUGGAAGUCAAAAAUUAUUUGAUAGGAGUUCCCAUGAUGGCUCAGUGGUUAAAAAAUGCAGCUAGCAU